This 1153-nucleotide long non-coding RNA is filed under the name Zalophus californianus (California sea lion). Its description in RNAcentral is "lncRNA (ENSZCAG00015004787.1)". The record is from RNAcentral. Lineage: Eukaryota; Metazoa; Chordata; Mammalia; Carnivora; Otariidae.
ACGUAUGUAUGUGUAUUAAUUCUGAUGAUUUAAUCUGAAGGUGUUCAGAAUAAGUAAACGCAUUGAGCAGGGUUAACCAUCACAUAUGCCUACAUAAAAAUGUUAAAGUUGUGAUUUUCGGAAAAUCCUGUCUUUGGACAAGAAAUAGAAGAGAAUCUCUUCCAGGGUCCUGAAAGGACUACAUCAAAAUUGUAUACCAAAAAUUGGGGCAGAGGGACAGAAGAUACCAUAAUAACGGGCUUUCCGGAGAGACUUGGACAACUUCCUGCUCAGAGUAUUUUACUCUGUUCCCACUCAAUUCCAAGGCACAUGUCUUGAACCCAAGGAACUGUGCUGUGGUAUUUCACAACCAACCAUUCUCCUCUUACGCAUCUCUGGUGUUAAAUAGAAGCUCUCAGAUUCUAAAGAUGAGGCUGGGAUGCCCUAAAGGCAGGUGCACCUAAAGCAAUUGCAAAUUGUAUUCAAGAAAUGGAAAUCCAUUUCUGAAAUGCAGUCUCUUCUGCGUUGGGAUCUAAAAGGAGCAUGGCAAGAGUCCCCUGCAGGAUACCGUCUGUUCAUUCAAUAGGCAUUUAUUGAGUCCCCAUUAUGUGCUGAGCACUGAGCUAAGUGCUGAGGAGACAUUGGUGAAAAAGCCAGACACAGUCUCAACCCUUAGAGGGCUCAUGAUUUACCAGAAGAAACAAGACAUUAAAAAAUCGUUACAAAAUUGACUAUUUCAUUACAGUUGGGGGAAAUGGCAGACCCAUAGGCCAUUGUGAGAUUAUAUAACAGGGAAAUUUACGAUAUGGAAGAUCAGGAAGGACUCACAUAAGGAAAUGAGUUAAUUAAUUCAGGGUGAGGGGACAUCCCAGGCAGAGGAAACCCAAUGACAACCAAAGGUCAAGGGAAACAAGGAAUGAAAAAUAUGAGGAGUUUGUACUCUGUGUAGCAUUAGAGAGGACUGCUUAGUCUUGGAUCAGCAAUGGCCCACCAAUUGUCCUUCCUCUAGGUUUGAUAAAACCACUGGUUCAAGAAGCAGAAUGAACAUAAAUAUUGGCAGUAUGGCAAAGAACGAUAUACUUACAGGAGAAAAUAAUAGCAACUGCAGCUUGGACUGCAGAUGGUUUGGGUUUAUUUUACUCAAAUGUCUGGUAUUUUUCUAAAUUGAGCUGUG